RNAcentral lists this non-coding RNA (24 nucleotides) under Arabidopsis thaliana (thale cress). The record is from RNAcentral. Lineage: Eukaryota; Viridiplantae; Streptophyta; Magnoliopsida; Brassicales; Brassicaceae.
GGAGAAAUUGCGAAUUAAACUGAG